RNAcentral lists this transfer RNA (74 nucleotides) under Thaumetopoea wilkinsoni (Cyprus processionary caterpillar). Its description in RNAcentral is "transfer RNA-Asp". Lineage: Eukaryota; Metazoa; Arthropoda; Insecta; Lepidoptera; Notodontidae. The record is from RNAcentral.
AAAGAAUUAGUUAAAUUUAUUAAAUAACAUAAAUAUGUCAAAUUUAAAUUAUUACCACAAAGUAAUAUUCUUUU